This 487-nucleotide ribosomal RNA is filed under the name uncultured bacterium. RNAcentral's name for it is "partial 16S ribosomal RNA". It matches the Rfam family "Bacterial small subunit ribosomal RNA", at positions 28 to 507 of the family's 1533-position model. The record is from RNAcentral.
GAUGAACGCUAGCGAUAGGCUUAACACAUGCAAGUCGAGGGGCAGCACAAGGUAGCUUGCUAUCUGGGUGGCGACCGGCUCACGGGUGCGUAACGCGUAUGCAACUUGCCCUAUACAGGAGGAUAACCCGUCGAAAGACGGACUAAUACUGCGUAUGCUCACAACUUGGCAUCAAGUGGUGAGGAAAGAAAUUCGGUAUAGGAUAGGCAUGCGUCCCAUUAGCUUGUUGGUGAGGUAACGGCUCACCAAGGCAACGAUGGGUAGGGGAACUGAGAGGUUUAUCCCCCACACUGGUACUGAGACACGGACCAGACUCCUACGGGAGGCAGCAGUGAGGAAUAUUGGUCAAUGGGCGCGAGCCUGAACCAGCCAAGUCGCGUGAAGGAUGACUGUCUUAUGGAUUGUAAACUUCUUUUAUACGGGAAUAACAAGAGUCACGUGUGACUCCCUGCAUGUACCGUAUGAAUAAGCAUCGGCUAACUCCGUG